Molecule: long non-coding RNA, 274 nt
Organism: Pollicipes pollicipes
Lineage: Eukaryota; Metazoa; Arthropoda; Thecostraca; Pollicipedomorpha; Pollicipedidae
Exons: 3
Source: RefSeq, a predicted model, not a curated record
CGGCCACGCCGGCCGCGCCUGGUCCGGCCUCUGCUGCGCGGCCGACCACCACCCACCACUGCCCUCCGCGCCAGACGUGGGUAGGUCUGAGAGGAAAUCCGUCUGAGUACCAGCCUCGACAGUCCGUCUGAGUACCAGCCUCGACAGCCCGUCUGAGUGUACCCUUGUGUACAGAGUGUACACUUGUGGCCAGGCCCACUCUUCUCUUCCGUGUCGGUCGGCGCGUCAUACAACUCCGCCGCCGGCGCCGCGAGCCAAUGGUCGGCGCGGCGCC